GAUGAAGAACGCAGCGAAAUGCGAUACGUAAUGUGAAUUGCAGAAUUCAGUGAAUCAUCGAGUCUUUGAACGCACAUUGCGCCCUCUGGUAUUCCGGAGGGCAUGCCUGUCCGAGCGUCAUUGCUGCCCUCAAGCACGGCUUGUGUGUUGGGCUCCGUCCCCCGAUCCCGGGGGACGGGCCCGAAAGGCAGCGGCGGCACCGCGUCCGGUCCUCGAGCGUAUGGGGCUUUGUCACCCGCUCUUGUAGGCCCGGCCGGCGCUUGCCGACACAUCAAUCUUUUUUCCAGGUUGACCUCGGAUCAGGUAGGGAUACCCGCUGAACUUAAGCAUAUCAAUAAGCGGAGGA
RNAcentral lists this unclassified non-coding RNA (346 nucleotides) under soil metagenome. Its description in RNAcentral is "partial contains 5.8S ribosomal RNA, internal transcribed spacer 2, and large subunit ribosomal RNA". The stretch from base 1 to 120 matches the Rfam family "5.8S ribosomal RNA", at positions 35 to 154 of the family's 154-position model. The record is from RNAcentral.